AGUACGGCCGCAAGGUUAAAACUCAAAUGAAUUGACGGGGGCCCGCACAAGCGGUGGAGCAUGUGGUUUAAUUCGAUGCAACGCGAAGAACCUUACCUACUCUUGACAUCCAGCGAAUCCUGUAGAGAUACGGGAGUGCCUUCGGGAACGCUGAGACAGGUGCUGCAUGGCUGUCGUCAGCUCGUGUUGUGAAAUGUUGGGUUAAGUCCCGCAACGAGCGCAACCCUUAUCCUUUGUUGCCAGCGGUUCGGCCGGGAACUCAAAGGAGACUGCCAGUGAUAAACUGGAGGAAGGUGGGGAUGACGUCAAGUCAUCAUGGCCCUUACGAGUAGGGCUACACACGUGCUACAAUGGCGUAUACAAAGAGAAGCGAACUCGCGAGAGCAAGCGGACCUCAUAAAGUACGUCGUAGUCCGGAUUGGAGUCUGCAACUCGACUCCAUGAAGUCGGAAUCGCUAGUAAUCGUGGAUCAGAAUGCCA
Molecule: ribosomal RNA, 480 nt
Filed under: Edwardsiella tarda
Lineage: Bacteria; Pseudomonadati; Pseudomonadota; Gammaproteobacteria; Enterobacterales; Hafniaceae
Also listed under: 1 other name
Description: bacterial SSU rRNA
Rfam family: Bacterial small subunit ribosomal RNA
Source: RNAcentral